Long non-coding RNA from Eriocheir sinensis (Chinese mitten crab), 920 nucleotides. RefSeq lists it as uncharacterized. The record is from RefSeq and is a predicted model, not a curated record. Lineage: Eukaryota; Metazoa; Arthropoda; Malacostraca; Decapoda; Varunidae. The transcript has 3 exons.
GAGGGGUGGAGGUGUAGGAGGAACAGAGGUGAGGGGGAGGGGUGGAGGUGUAGGAGGAACAGAGGUGAGGGGGAGGGGUGGAGGUGUAGGAGGAACAGAGGUGAGGGGGAGGGGUGGAGGUGUAGGAGGAACAGAGGUGAGGGGGAGGGGUGGAGGUGAGGGAGGAACAGAGGGGCGGGGGAGGGGUGGAGGUGUAGGAGGAACAGAGGUGAGGGGGAGGGGUGGAGGUGUAGGAGGAACAGAGGUGAGGGGGAGGGGUGGAGGUGUAGGAGGAACAGAGGUGAGGGGGAGGGGUGGAGGUGUAGGAGGAACAUAGGUGAGGGGGAGGGGUGGAGGUGCAGGAGGCCACAGGGAGAAACAAGGAGCAGAGGUGAGAGUGAGGCAUGGAGGAAGAGGUGAGGGAGGGAGGGGUGGUGUUGUGUUCAGCGUGAGGCAUGGAGGAAGAGGUGAGGGAGGGAGGGGUGGUGUUGUGUUCAGCGUGAGGCAUGGAGGAAGAGGUGAGGGAGGGAGGGGUGGUGUUGUGUUCAGCGUGAGGCAUGGAGGAAGAGGUGAGGGAGGGAGGGGUGGUGUUGUGUUCAGCAUGAGGCAUGGAGGAAGAGGUGAGGGAGGGAGGGGUGGUGUUGUGUUCAGCGUGAGGCAUGGAGGAAGGGAGGAAGAGGUGGGUGAGGGAGGGAGGGAGGGAGGGAUGGUGUUGUGUUCAGCGUGAGGCAUCACAGUCAGGCGCUGGUGAGUGUCAGGCUGGGUGCAUGGAAAUGAAGGAAGCUUUGAGGGUCAUCAUUGUGUUCAUGAGUGUUGAUGGUUCUGGCUCACCAUGGGACAAUAGCAACACAAGAAUGGGUCACUACCAGACAAAGGUUACUGAGUGUGGCAGCAGCAGUGACCACUACAUGUCUGUGUGUGGCAGCAGCCUGUGGGGGGGG